This 292-nucleotide ribosomal RNA is filed under the name uncultured Acidobacteriota bacterium. RNAcentral describes it as "uncultured Acidobacteria bacterium partial 16S ribosomal RNA". The record is from RNAcentral. Lineage: Bacteria; Pseudomonadati; Acidobacteriota.
GGACUACUAGGGUUUCUAAUCCUGUUUGCUCCCCUAGCUUUCGUCAUUCAGCGUCAGUUGUGGUCCAGCGCGCCGCUUUCGCCACGGGUGUUCCUGCAGAUAUCUACGCAUUUCACCGCUACACCUGCAAUUCCACGCGCCUCUCCCACACUCAAGCACAGCAGUUUUGGAAGCAGCCUCUGGGUUGAGCCCAGAGAUUUCACUCCCAACUUGCCACACCGCCUACUGACCCUUUACACCCAGUAAUUCCGAACAACGCUGGCCCCCUACGUCUUACCGCGGCGGCUGGCAC